This 425-nucleotide ribosomal RNA is filed under the name uncultured bacterium. Its description in RNAcentral is "partial 16S ribosomal RNA". It matches the Rfam family "Bacterial small subunit ribosomal RNA", at positions 354 to 796 of the family's 1533-position model. The record is from RNAcentral.
GUAGGGAAUAUUAGUAAUGGGCGAAAGCCUGAACUAGCAACGCCGCGUGUGCGAAGAAGGCCUUCGGGUUGUAAAGCACUUUUUGAGAGGAUGAGGAAGGACGGUACUCUCAGAAUAAGUCUCGGCUAACUACGUGCCAGCAGCCGCGGUAACACGUAGGAGGCGAACGUUAUCCGGAUUUACUGGGCGUAAAGCGCGUGUAGGUGGUUUGGUAAGUAGGGCGUGAAAGCUCCUGGCUCAACUGGGAGAGGCCGUUCUAAACUGCCGAACUAGAGGAUGGUAGAGGGAGGUGGAAUUCCGGGUGUAGCGGUGGAAUGCGCAGAUAUCCGGAGGAACACCAGUGGCGAAAGCGGCCAACUGGUCCGAAACUGACGCUGAGGCGCGAAAGCGUGGGGAGCAAACAGGAUUAGAAACCCUGGUAGUCC